This 2584-nucleotide long non-coding RNA is filed under the name Capsicum annuum. RNAcentral's name for it is "long non-coding RNA (CANN_LNC016523)". The record is from RNAcentral. Lineage: Eukaryota; Viridiplantae; Streptophyta; Magnoliopsida; Solanales; Solanaceae.
CCCUCUUUGGUAUCAAAAAAAAAUCCCCAAAUCAGUGAACAUCAUCUCUCAAAGCUUACCCAAAAUCAGUGAACAUUAUCGCCUCAAAGUUGUCUCUCAAAGCUUAAGGUUCAACCUCGAUCAUUCUCAGCUCCUCUUGCAUCAUCACAUUAAAGGUAAUUUUGUUUUCUCACAUUAAGAGUAAAAAAGACAUCAAGUUUGAGCUUGAUUAGUGAUUUAUUUUUCUCCUCAUUCUUUUUCCUCCACUAUUUUUUGUGUUUGAUAAGAGGUGUUACUUUUAGCAAUCUACAUUUUUACCUCAACUAUUGUUAAAUGUUAAAACCUCCGGAAUAUCAUCUUGUAAAGAAACAAAUGACUAGCUUUGGUGGUGUGGUCAGUUUUGCGGCUGAUGGAGACCUCCUAACUACUGCAAAAUUUAUGGAUGCUCUGAGGAUACCCUAUAUUGUUCCAUCGUUUACUCUGUUGGAGCGGUUGACCUUCUUUUUUCUGAAGCUGAAUUCAGGGCAGGUUCAAUGCUUGCCCGAUUUUGAGGACCCUUUCCCCGCUAUUUGGCCUCAACGCUCCUAGCUGGCCUAGUCGGUGAAUAAACCUAUUGUUCAAGCCUGAGCAAUCCUCUUCGUCCUUGGGCAUUCGCCCUAACAGACUUAUUUAAUAAAGAAUAUAAUUCAGGUAUGGAAUGACAGUCGAAUUAUGGUAUGGUAGCUUUUGUCUUGCUAGCCUGCCUUUCUUCUCUAUGAGAAAAGGAAGUUACAAGCCGAAACUAUAAAGCGAAACUACAUUUGUAGAACGAUAAUGUGAAAAAUGAGACCGAGGACGGAUGCUAAAAGCAAGAAUGCCCGCAACAACAUAUUAGGCGCUCUUUCUACUAGUUCUAAUUGCUGUUUCAGUUCACUUCAUCGUUUGAGGAGUGGUGCCACUCUACGAUUAUAGUCAGCUAUUAGUGCGAAAAUUUCUCUUUCUUUCUUUUCUAUUAGUCGAUCGCUGGCGCCCCGAUCAGUUAGUCUUUCUAUUUCUUCCUCUAGGAAGUCUAUUUUCUUCUUAUACCGGUCCGCUAGCACGGCCCUUUCUUUUUGGUUAUCUUGUAGGAGCCUUUCGAUUUCCCGUUGAGCUUGAGCUGCGACUUCACCGGCUGGUACUUCUUCUUCUACCAUCGACCGUGGCUUCAUCUGCAAGGCUGUAUUCUGUUCACCUAGACCAUCCAUCGUCUUAUAGGCCGUAUCUCGGGAACCCCCUAACUCUUGAUCUCGCAUUCCCCUGAAUCAUGGCCCCUAAGUACUUGAAACUAUUCCUCUUACACACCACCUGAGAAUCCAACCUUACUACCACUUCGUCCACCUCCCUCGAGACAUUAAACUUACAUUCCAAAUAUUCGGUCUUACUCCUACUUAACCUGAACCCUUUAGACUCAAGGGUCUGUCUCCACACCUCUAAUUUAUCAUUCACACCCACCGAGUCUCGUCAAUCAAAACCACAUCGUCUGCAAAAAGUAUACACCAGGGCACUUCGCCUUGGAUACGUCGCGUCAACACAUCCAUAACCAAAGCAAACAAAAACGGGCUAAGAGUAGUUAAUAAUAAAAAAAAAAAAAAAAAUAGAAGUAAAAGUGAAAAUCUAUUUUAAAAAAAUGAACAAAUAAAAGUGAAAGAAGAAAGUCAUACACACAUAAAUAAAUGUGUGCACUAGAUAAUUUAUUAAUUAUUUAAAAUAAGAAGUAAUUUUUAAGUCAUUUUCAAAUAAUAUAUACUUCUUCAAUUUCUUUAUGUGACAUUGAUAAAAUUUCAAGUCAAAUUAAAUUUGAAUCAAGCAUUUUAAUUUGCUAAAAUAGUUUAAAUUUUAGUUAUUAUAAUUUAUUGUACAUUUUAUGUGUAUAACUAAUUAAAAGAAAAAUAAGAUAAACAAACAAUGCUACAAGUACAAUUCCAUAAGCACAUUCACUCUGUUUUGAUUUUAAACAAAGGCUCAAUUACUCUGCAUCAUCAUAUUCGACCUUAUUUCCCCUCUUUGGUAUCAAAAAAAAAUCCCCAAAUCAGUGAACAUCAUCUCUCAAAGCUUACCCAAAAUCAGUGAACAUUAUCGCCUCAAAGUUGUCUCUCAAAGCUUAAGGUUCAACCUCGAUCAUUCUCAGCUCCUCUUGCAUCAUCACAUUAAAGGUAAUUUUGUUUUCUCACAUUAAGAGUAAAAAAGACAUCAAGUUUGAGCUUGAUUAGUGAUUUAUUUUUCUCCUCAUUCUUUUUCCUCCACUAUUUUUUGUGUUUGAUAAGAGGUGUUACUUUUAGCAAUCUACAUUUUUACCUCAACUAUUGUUAAAUGUUAAAACCUCCGGAAUAUCAUCUUGUAAAGAAACAAAUGACUAGCUUUGGUGGUGUGGUCAGUUUUGCGGCUGAUGGAGACCUCCUAACUACUGCAAAAUUUAUGGAUGCUCUGAGGAUACCCUAUAUUGUUCCAUCGUUUACUCUGUUGGAGCGGUUGACCUUCUUUUUUCUGAAGCUGAAUUCAGGGCAGGUUCAAUGCUUGCCCGAUUUUGAGGACCCUUUCCCCGCUAUUUGGCCUCAACGCUCCUAGCUGGCCUAGUCGGUGAAUAAAC